RNAcentral lists this ribosomal RNA (460 nucleotides) under uncultured bacterium. RNAcentral's name for it is "partial 16S ribosomal RNA". It matches the Rfam family "Bacterial small subunit ribosomal RNA", at positions 338 to 795 of the family's 1533-position model. The record is from RNAcentral.
CCUACGGGUGGCAGCAGUGAGGAAUAUUGGUCAAUGGACGAGAGUCUGAACCAGCCAAGUAGCGUGAAGGAUGACUGCCCUAUGGGUUGUAAACUUCUUUUAUAUGGGAAUAAAAUGUUCCACGUGUGGGAUUUUGUAUGUACCAUAUGAAUAAGGAUCGGCUAACUCCGUGCCAGCAGCCGCGGUAAUACGGAGGAUCCGAGCGUUAUCCGGAUUUAUUGGGUUUAAAGGGAGCGUAGGUGGAUUGUUAAGUCAGUUGUGAAAGUUUGCGGCUCAACCGUAAAAUUGCAGUUGAAACUGGCAGUCUUGAGAUGUCGAGAGGUAUGCGGAAUGCGCAGUGUAGCGGUGAAAUGCUUAGAUAUUGCGCAGAACUCCGAUUGCGAAGGCAGCAUACCGGCGGCGAUCUGACGCUGAGGCACGAAAGCGUGGGUAUCGAACAGGAUUAGAUACCCCGGUAGUC